This 698-nucleotide ribosomal RNA is filed under the name uncultured bacterium. RNAcentral's name for it is "bacterial SSU rRNA". It matches the Rfam family "Bacterial small subunit ribosomal RNA", at positions 141 to 850 of the family's 1533-position model. The record is from RNAcentral.
GGAUACCCGAGGGAAACUUCGGUUAAUACGGUAUAAGACCACACUACCGCAUGGUAGAGGGGUAAAAGGGGCAACCUGGUAUGAGAUGGACUCGCGUCGCAUUAGCUAGUUGGUGAGGUAACGGCCCACCAAGGCGACGAUGCGUAGCCGACCUGAGAGGGUGAUCGGCCACAUUGGGACUGAGAUACGGCCCAGACUCCUACGGGAGGCAGCAGUGGGGAAUAUUGGGCAAUGGAGGAAACUCUGACCCAGCAAUGCCGCGUGAAUGAAGAAGGUCUUCGGAUUGUAAAGUUCUUUAGUCAGGGAAGAAGUCAAUGACGGUACCUGAAGAAUAAGCUCCGGCUAACUACGUGCCAGCAGCCGCGGUAAUACGUAGGGAGCAAGCGUUGUUCGGAAUGACUGGGCGUAAAGGGUGCGUAGGCGGUUGUACAAGUUAGAAGUGAAAUACCCAGGGCUUAACUCGGGUGCUGCUUCUAAAACUGUAUGACUUGAGUGCAGUAGAGGUUAGUGGAAUUCCUAGUGUAGCGGUGGAAUGCGUAGAUAUUAGGAGGAACACCAGAGGCGAAGGCGGCUAACUGGACUGCAACUGACGCUGAGGCACGAAAGUGUGGGGAGCAAACAGGAUUAGAUACCCUGGUAGUCCACACUGUAAACGAUGGAUACGAGAUGUAGGAGGUAUCGACUCCUUCUGCGUCGCA